UACAGUUUCAUCAUCUCUUACAAAAAUGUAAUAUUUUUUGUUGAGAAUGGUUACAGAAAACAUGGAUUUUUCUGGUGAGAUUAUAGAAAUCUUAAAGAUUAACUUUCUUAUCCACACAAGUCUAUUUCUGAACCAAUACAUGCAAGAACAAAUGAAGGUAAACAAACAACAUCGGUACUAAGUGUAGAUGGAGAAGAUGUUCAGGUUCAAGGAGGGCAUGUGGGAGAAGCACAGGACACAACGUAGACGCAUGCAUACUUAUGCUCCAGACCAGGGUUCUUGCACAUCACUAAGCACUAAGAAGUACUGCAACUUCAAGUGCAUCUGCUACUUUGGUUUGUUCAUAUAAACACAACAAUCUGAACAAGAGUAUUCUGCAGGAGAAGAAUUCAAGCUUGGAUAGACA
Molecule: long non-coding RNA, 406 nt
Organism: Lolium perenne
Lineage: Eukaryota; Viridiplantae; Streptophyta; Magnoliopsida; Poales; Poaceae
Source: RefSeq, a predicted model, not a curated record